UCAACAGGAACAACUGGUUUCCCUUCAAAGUGACCAACCAAUACAAAUUUUCAAAUUAAGAGCUUCCAUACAAGAAAAUUAAUGAAACAAACACUUUAUAUACAUUUCUCCCAGGCAAUACAGAACCGCGUGUAUCUUUCAGUAAUAAGACUUCAGUAUUGCCUGUGUACAUCAAAUCCAAUACAAUUCACAUCAAGCUUCACGAUGAAAUUCCAAGCCUUAGCCAAACUAGUGUAGAUUCCCACAAUUAAACAAGUUGAUCUAACAUUACCACCAACGACUAGAAAGAAAAAAUUAAAAAGAAACAAUAAAUGCAGACCUCAAGUCCUUUUUCAUCUAUCUGCUCUAAAACCAAACCUAUCGACAGUCUAAAUAGCCUUUCAACAGCUAGCUUCUGCCAAAAUCAUACAGUGAAACAGAAGCGUUGAAGAAGAAUAAGGACCAUAUUCAGCAAGACAUCGUAGAAUCAAACUCUUGUUGAAAAUAUUUACCAAGUCAACAAUUAAAUACUUCCCUUGCAUCUUGAUUUUCCAUUUACUCUCACGCGAAGGAAUACACACAUCUACCAAGAUAUGAGCCACACUCCUUCGCAUCCCAAAACUGUUUCCUUCUCGGUGAAGCUCAUGCAGAAAUUUACUGCUUCUGCUUUUGGUGGCACAGACCAAUCUCAGAGAUGUGCAUUGAAGAUGAUUAAUAGAGCCUGAUUCUAGUCUGUAUUGAGCUUCUACAAAUGGGGCAUGAUUCCAAGUCUUCUCCACAGUCACAACAAGUCUGAUGCCCACAACCGAAUGCCAUGUCCUUUCUAUUAGUAAGACAAAUGGGACAAACCUGAUUAUCAUAAGUAGAACUUGAAUAUGGAGCCGUGUUGACUGAGGUAUCAUAUCCAGAAACUGGUGAGUCAUAUCCAGAGCAAGAAGGUACUGAUGAAUCAUAUCCAGAAUAUGAAGGUACACGUUGCUGAAAGCUGCUUGAGCGUGAAGGUUUUCCUCUGUUGGUGAAAGAAGAUGGUCCAUGAAGAGGUGGG
RNAcentral lists this unclassified non-coding RNA (1024 nucleotides) under Hevea brasiliensis (rubber tree). Lineage: Eukaryota; Viridiplantae; Streptophyta; Magnoliopsida; Malpighiales; Euphorbiaceae. The record is from RNAcentral.